CGUAGGGGGCAAGCGUUGUCCGGAUUUACUGGGCGUAAAGAGCGUGUAGGCGGCCGCACAGGUCCGUUGUGAAAACUGGAGGCUUAACCUCCAGACGUCGACGGAAACCGUGUGGCUAGAGUCCGGAAGAGGAGAGUGGAAUUCCUGGUGUAGCGGUGAAAUGCGCAGAUAUCAGGAAGAACACCAAUGGCGAAGGCAGCUCUCUGGGACGGUACUGACGCUGAGACGCGAAAGCGUGGGGAGCGAACAGGAUUAGAUACCCUGGUAGUCCACGCCGUAAACGAUGGGUGCUAGGUGUGGGAGGUGUCGACUCCUUCCGUGCCGUAGCUAACGCAUUAAGCACCCCGCCUGGGGAGUACGGCCGCAAGGCUA
RNAcentral lists this ribosomal RNA (372 nucleotides) under uncultured organism. RNAcentral describes it as "bacterial SSU rRNA". It matches the Rfam family "Bacterial small subunit ribosomal RNA", at positions 526 to 896 of the family's 1533-position model. The record is from RNAcentral.